UAUGCCAUCAUUAUUAGCCAGUUAACAUAAAUAUUUUUAGUACAAUAGUUAUAUAGCUCUGUCAACCUCACCUUCUCUAGUCUUUGAGUCUUCGUCACCAAUACCAUUUUUACGCCGUUGUCACUAAUAAACUGCAUCGAUGGAUGACACCGAUAGUAGACGAGACAUAGUCAACCGCAGACUUCGAUUUAUUUUCAUGGUGUUCACGGGAGGAGUGUACUCAAUAGUGAUGCAUUCCCUGAUUAUCAUUGCAUACACCUUGAUAAAUGUUCAUAUUAUCUAUAAUUAUGGCUUUUAUGACGACGUGUUUGGCUAUGUAUCUGGGAUCUUCAUGAUGUACAUCUUUGGGUUCAUAUUUGAAAUCAAGUUCAGACAGUCUAACAAGCCGUUGGAAGCCAUGGUUGUGGAAUAUUCCGGCAAUUUUGGGGCAUUUAUCCUCCUACUCCCCCUCAUAUUAGCGACACCCAUCGAUAAUGUUAUGAUUUUUAUCAAUAUAUAUGUUGGGGUAGUAUUUGGGCUUUGGUGUCUCUUUAUAUUUCUUGCUGUAAUUGCAUACGACCACCUACAAGAGUAUGACCCUUUAUUUCAACCACUUGUUUAGGAUCCAGAUCAACAUAAUAAACCUCUUCUUUUUUUUCAA
This is a long non-coding RNA of Capsella rubella, 640 nucleotides long. RefSeq lists it as uncharacterized. The transcript has 3 exons. The record is from RefSeq and is a predicted model, not a curated record. NCBI's taxonomy places the organism in Eukaryota, Viridiplantae, Streptophyta, Magnoliopsida, Brassicales, Brassicaceae.